This is a long non-coding RNA of Hibiscus syriacus, 143 nucleotides long. RefSeq lists it as uncharacterized. NCBI's taxonomy places the organism in Eukaryota, Viridiplantae, Streptophyta, Magnoliopsida, Malvales, Malvaceae. The transcript has 2 exons. The record is from RefSeq and is a predicted model, not a curated record.
CAUCUCUCUCCUCUGAGUCCUUUCCUUUACACGUUUGCUUUUCUUCUCCUUUUUCCCGUCACGUUUCCGAGCUUCGUGGCACAUUUUCCAGAAAAGCAUUUCCAAGGAAGGGUCUCUGAUUUGAUCAUUGAAACCGAGACAAA